This 468-nucleotide ribosomal RNA is filed under the name uncultured bacterium. Its description in RNAcentral is "partial 16S ribosomal RNA". It matches the Rfam family "Bacterial small subunit ribosomal RNA", at positions 28 to 507 of the family's 1533-position model. The record is from RNAcentral.
GACGAACGCUGGCGGCGUGCUUAACACAUGCAAGUCGAACGGAAAGGCCCUGCUUUUGUGGGGUGCUCGAGUGGCGAACUGGUGAGUAACACGUGAGUAACCUGCCCUUGACUUUGGGAUAACUUCAGGAAACUGGGGCUAAUACCGGAUAGGAGCUCCUGCUGCAUGGUGGGGGUUGGAAAGUUUCGGCUGUUGGGGAUGGACUCGCGGCUUAUCAGCUUGUUGGUGGGGUAGUGGCUUACCAAGGCUUUGACGGGUAGCCGGCCUGAGAGGGUGACCGGCCACAUUGGGACUGAGAUACGGCCCAGACUCCUACGGGAGGCAGCAGUGGGGAAUAUUGCACAAUGGGCGGAAGCCUGAUGCAGCAACGCCGCGUGCGGGAUGACGGCCUUCGGGUUGUAAACCGCUUUCGCCUGUGACGAAGCGUGAGUGACGGUAAUGGGUAAAGAAGCACCGGCUAACUACGUG